This is a long non-coding RNA of Myzus persicae (green peach aphid), 935 nucleotides long. RefSeq lists it as uncharacterized. The record is from RefSeq and is a predicted model, not a curated record. NCBI's taxonomy places the organism in Eukaryota, Metazoa, Arthropoda, Insecta, Hemiptera, Aphididae. The transcript is spliced from 5 exons.
UAUAUUUCAUAUUUUUCCCAGUACAGAUUUUUUUUUUCUUCCAUUUCAUUUAAUACGUUCUCAUUUGUUUCUCGCUACGUCUGUCUGACAUAUUUUCUUUGCGUCUUAUUAUAGUUUUUUUUAUAAAAUCAUUUUACCCAUAAUAUAAACUUCACGCACAGCAUAUAAUAUUGUAGUACACGUUUGUUACCUACAAGAACUUAACUUGAGUCCACGUCAUCGUCUCAAAAUAAAAUGGAGCUGCGACUAAUUAAGUGAGUAGUGAAAUUGCCCACAUAAAAGUGUCACUAAAGAGCGACUUCUUUCUCAAGACUAGUUAUUCUUGCAGUUUCGACGAUAAAAGAUAGUUUGAAGCUCGAAUCCGAACUAAAUGUUGAUUUUGGACGAGUUAUUUGAAGUGCGAUUGUUUAUGGCAAGUUUUCUUUACAACAAAAGCUUUUAUAAGUAGUCAUAUUGGAGACUGAUCCUGGUCGCAGAGCUGGAUUGAGUGAGUGUACGGGUUUUCGUAUUAUACUGCAGCGGUGGUUUGAAAUGUUUGAAUUCAAACAUGCUCAUCUAGAGCGAAUAAAUUGGCGUCGAAAGUGCACAACCGUGGAACUGGUGACCAAAAUAAUGGCCACUGAAAGUAGCCAGGAGUCGGAGUGGUAUCAUUUUUAUAUCACAAACAGGAUUUUAUGAUGCAAGUCCGUGGAAAAAUAAUGUUCAGGCAUAUGAUGGACAAUAUUGUAUAGUGUCAUUCAGUGCAAGUCCAAUUCUUCCAUCGAUACCGACUCGUCUGUUGAUGUCUUCUUGACGUUAAAGUCAGGAGUACGAAGUUCAACCCACCGUGCAGCAACAGUGAAGACUCCUAAGUAUAAUUCGUUCAUCGUAUACUUUAUAAUAUACUAUUUAAAAAUGAUAUUGUAGUGUUUAGAAAUUUAAGUUUAUAAACAAAC